UCCCUCCCUUAGUUACACCAAGA
Molecule: microRNA, 23 nt
Filed under: Heligmosomoides polygyrus
Lineage: Eukaryota; Metazoa; Nematoda; Chromadorea; Rhabditida; Heligmosomidae
Description: hpo-miR-10128-5p
Source: miRBase by way of RNAcentral